GGGUCUGUAGCUCAGUUGGUUAGAGCGCACCCCUGAUAAGGGUGAGGUCGCCGGUUCAAAUCCAGCCAGACCCACCA
RNAcentral lists this transfer RNA (77 nucleotides) under bacterium. RNAcentral describes it as "tRNA-Ile". It matches the Rfam family "tRNA". From Rfam's summary of the family: Transfer RNA (tRNA) molecules are approximately 80 nucleotides in length. The record is from RNAcentral. RNAcentral also lists the same sequence under 7 other names.